This 468-nucleotide ribosomal RNA is filed under the name uncultured bacterium. RNAcentral's name for it is "partial 16S ribosomal RNA". It matches the Rfam family "Bacterial small subunit ribosomal RNA", at positions 28 to 507 of the family's 1533-position model. The record is from RNAcentral.
GACGAACGCUGGCGGCGUGCUUAACACAUGCAAGUCGAACGGAAAGGCCCUGCUUUUGUGGGGUGCUCGAGUGGCGAACGGGUGAGUAACACGUGAGUAACCUGCCCUUGACUUUGGGAUAACUUCAGGAAACUGGGGCUAAUACCGGAUAGGAGCUCCUGCUGCAUGGUGGGGGUUGGAAAGUUUCGGCGGUUGGGGAUGGACUCGCGGCUUAUCAGCUUGUUGGUGGGGUAGUGGCUUACCAAGGCUUUGACGGGUAGCCGGCCUGAGAGGGUGACCGGCCACAUUGGGACUGGGAUACGGCCCAGACUCCUACGGGAGGCAGCAGUGGGGAAUAUUGAACAAUGGGCGGAAGCCUGAGGCAGCAACGCCGCGUGCGGGAUGACGGCCUUCGGGUUGUAAACCGCUUUCGCAUGUGACGAAGCGUGAGUGACGGUAAUGGGUAAAGAAGCACCGGCUAACUACGUG